UACCCAGACUCCUACGGGAGGCAGCAGUGGGGAAUAUUGCACAAUGGGGGAAACCCUGAUGCAGCGACGCCGCGUGAGUGAAGAAGUAAUUCGUUAUGUAAAGCUCUAUCAGCAGGGAAGAAAAUGACGGUACCUGAGUAAGAAGCCCCGACUAACUACGUGCCAGCAGCCGCGGUAAUACGUAGGGGGCAAGCGUUAUCCGGAUUUACUGGGUGUAAAGGGAGCGUAGACGGCAUGGCAAGUCAGAUGUGAAAGCCCGGGGCUCAACCCCGGGACUGCAUUUGAAGCUGUCAGGCUGGAGUGCAGGAGAGGUAAGUGGAAUUCCUAGUGUAGCGGUGAAAUGCGUAGAGAUCAAGAGGAAUACUCAUUGCGAAGGCGACCUGCUAGAACAUAACUGACGCUGAUGCGCGAAAGCGUGGGGAGCAAACAGGAUUAGAUACCCGCGUAAC
This 449-nucleotide ribosomal RNA is filed under the name uncultured bacterium. RNAcentral's name for it is "bacterial SSU rRNA". It matches the Rfam family "Bacterial small subunit ribosomal RNA", at positions 328 to 794 of the family's 1533-position model. The record is from RNAcentral.